This 1491-nucleotide long non-coding RNA is filed under the name Numida meleagris (helmeted guineafowl). RNAcentral's name for it is "lncRNA (ENSNMEG00000009042.1)". The record is from RNAcentral. Lineage: Eukaryota; Metazoa; Chordata; Aves; Galliformes; Numididae.
GAAGACACUAGAAAAUAGGAUAUAUGAAGAGUGGUUGAAGGAACUGGGGUUGUUUGAUCUGGAAAUGAGAAGGCUGAGGAAAGACCUCACUGCUCUCUACCUCUACUUGAAAGGAGGCUGCAGCGAGGUGGAUGUCAGUCUCUUUUCUCAGGUGAUGUGAUAGGAUAUACAAGGAAAUGGUUUCAAGUUGUGCCAGGGGAAGUUUAGAUUGGAUAUUAGGAGGAAUUUCUUUACAGAGAAUGUGGUCAAGUAUUGGAAUGGGCUGCCCAGAGAAGUGGAGGAGUCCUUGUCACUGGAGGUACAUAAGAGAUGUGUGGAUGUGGCACCAAGGGACACGGCUUAGCAGUGGGACUCAGUAGGUCAGGUUGAGGGUUGGACUUCGUGAUCUUGAAGGUCUCUUCCAACCCAGAUGAUUCUAGGAUCUCAUGAUCCUGUCUGCUUCUGAGAUACAGACACUGCCAGACACAGAAGCUUGCAGCAAAGAGGCUGAAAUCUGGCGUGGGUUACCCUAGCACAGCCCACACAAGACAGUCAUACUGGUUUUUUUUGCCUUUCUGGGGCCAAACUGCCAGAUCCUGGAAUUCACUCAUUCCCCUCCUAUCCACCCUUCAGCCAAACAGGAACGAGUACCCUGCAGUUAGCUGCAUGCUGCCAGCUUGGGCCUUCAAAACAGCACAAAAACACAGUCCAGACCGAACGCGGAAAUGUAGGCCUGGGCCCGGCCCCAUGCAGAGCGUCUGCUGGAAAGGCCCUGAGGCUGCUCUGGCAUGGCAAUAACCUACGCACACAGGGACGGUCAGCAAAAUUCUCUCAGUAGUGGUGUGCGGAGCAGUGGAACCACAAGGCCAGGGCCAGAGACAGGAGGACAAUGUAAAGAGAACUUCAGUGGGACCUGCCUAUGCCUCCAAGAUCCAUACCUCCUGGUUGGUAUUGCAGAGAGGACCAGCUGCGUCAUCUGUGUUGACUACCUGGACCUGCUACGAGGUUCUCCGUUUCAUGUGUCUGAUUCAGCACCUGGUGAUGAUUUGAUACUUCCAGAUGUGAAGAUAACGUUCCAGUUCUUCUGACAAACUGCCAGACUCUUUCUUUGUUGCUCAUGUUCCCUAAGCAACUCAACUCUACUGCCAAAGCUCAAAAGAUCCGCCAUAAAGCUAGCCAAAUUGAGGAAGUCUUUUAGAAAAUCUUUCUAAUUUAUGGCCCUUAGGAAAAUGGCCAGCUUUUCCAUAAGAUUUUUGACUGCCUUCUGUAGGAAGUCUGAUGCUCCCAUUUCAUGGAGACAAACAGCAAUUUCAUCCAGAUAAGAAGCAAUAUGUAAUGCAAGAUCAAAAUAACUGAUAAGACUCUUCCCAUCCUGAUCGCUGCAUUUUUAGAUCAAAGGUCUCAAAUUCUCAGAAAAAAAAAUCCUGUAUGAAAUAUCUGUGUGCAAACUAUACCUUUUCAAAAAUUAUUAAUUCAAAUAAAACAAACUAAGCACUUCUACUUUUAAAAGAU